Small nucleolar RNA from Raphanus sativus (radish), 108 nucleotides. Lineage: Eukaryota; Viridiplantae; Streptophyta; Magnoliopsida; Brassicales; Brassicaceae. The record is from RefSeq and is a predicted model, not a curated record.
AAUACAUGGUGGGGGCAGUCUUGCUGGUAGCCUUUGAAUCUCACCCAAGAGGCUUUAAAAGCUUCAGCAGUGCCUUGAGAAAAAUUAUAGAUAUUAUUCCUUAAUUCU